RNAcentral lists this ribosomal RNA (370 nucleotides) under uncultured bacterium. RNAcentral describes it as "bacterial SSU rRNA". It matches the Rfam family "Bacterial small subunit ribosomal RNA", at positions 41 to 380 of the family's 1533-position model. The record is from RNAcentral.
GUACUGUGGCUGGCACGCCUUAUGCAUAAAGUCGAACGAGAAAGCCCUUCGGUUAGCGAGUCAGUGGCGGACGGGUGAGUAACGCGUAGUGAAUCUACCUUCAGUGUGUGGGUGACAACUCGGGGAAACUCGAGCUAAUACCUGCAUAAUACCCAAGGUGUCAAAGUGUGGGGAUCUUCGGACCUCACGCCAGAAGAGUGAGCCUGCGUUGGAUUAGCUUGUAGGUGGGGUAACGGAUCACCAAGUGCGACGAUCCAUAGCUGGUCUGAGAGGAACAUCCAGACAACAACUGGAAACCUUGAGACCACGGUCCCAAAACUCCUACUGGGAAGGCAAGCAGAUAAGGAAUCUAUGGUCAAUUGGUGCGCAA